GCGACGGUACACCGCCUCCGCACCACCGUUUAAACAUGAAGUGUGGAUGUUAGAAGAUCCCAAAUAUGGAAAUAGUCAGGACCCAGAUGAACCUGUGCUGGAAUUCAGUGUGGGGUGGUGGGUCUCAGAGGACAAUUGCUACCCCUGUUGAAGUGAACAACGUGUGGAGUGCAACUGGCUUUGUGGCAUAGCUGGCUCUGGCCUUGGACUGUGUGUUUUUACUUUGUACCUAAAUGGGACACUGGACUUUUAACUACUAUUCAUUGUGUUUAUAAAUAAAAUUUUAGAAUUUUAUUGACUGUCAUCUUUUUGCCCACGGUGGAGACGGUUGGUCAGACCUAGAAUCUGUGUGUGUGUCUGUGUGUGUCAUCAGCAGGGUUUUGCAUAAAAGAGUGUGAGCAGGUCAAAAGGUCAAUUCAUUUAUUGUAGUUUUAUGGCAGCACCCUCUAGUGGCCUUGAAGCAAACAGUCUCCUAACUAAGCCAUGGCAUCUCUGGUCUCUCC
Astatotilapia calliptera (eastern happy) is the source of this 503-nucleotide long non-coding RNA. The record is from Ensembl. NCBI's taxonomy places the organism in Eukaryota, Metazoa, Chordata, Actinopteri, Cichliformes, Cichlidae.